This 231-nucleotide ribosomal RNA is filed under the name uncultured bacterium. Its description in RNAcentral is "partial 16S ribosomal RNA". It matches the Rfam family "Bacterial small subunit ribosomal RNA", at positions 103 to 334 of the family's 1533-position model. The record is from RNAcentral.
CGGGUGCGUAACACGUAUGCAACCUACCUUAAACUGGGAGAUAGCCCGGGGAAACUCGGAUUAAUACCCCAUAAUACAGUUGAGUCUCAUGACGUGAUUGUUAAAGAUUUAUCGGUUUAAGAUGGGCAUGCGUUCGAUUAGCUAGUUGGCGGGGUAAUGGCUCACCAAGGCUACGAUCGAUAGGGGGUCUGAGAGGAUGAUCCCCCACACUGGUACUGAGAUACGGACCAG